AAGUAAAAGUCGUAACAAGGUUUCCGUAGGUGAACCUGCGGAAGGAUCAUUAUUGAAAUAAACCUGAUGGGUUGUUGCUGGUUCUCUAGGGAGCAUGUGCACACCUUGUCAUCUUUAUAUCUCCACCUGUGCACCUUUUGUAGACCUUACAGGUCUAUGUUGCCUUUUCAUUUACACCAAUGUAUGUUAAUAGAAUGUUGUGACUAUAAAAUCUAUACAACUUUCAGCAACGGAUCUCUUGGCUCUCGCAUCGAUGAAGAACGCAGCGAAAUGCGAUAAGUAAUGUGAAUUGCAGAAUUCAGUGAAUCAUCGAAUCUUUGAACGCACCUUGCGCUCCUUGGUAUUCCGAGGAGCAUGCCUGUUUGAGUGUCAUUAAUAUAUAUAUCAACCCUCUUUUGUUGAGUGGUUUGGAUGUGAGGAUUUGCUGGAUUCUUAAAAGGGUUCCAGCUUCCUUGAAAUGCAUUAGCAGAACGGACCUGUUCAUUGGUGUGAUAACUAUCAGCACUAUUGAAUGUAAGGGUUAGUUCAGCUUUCUAACAGUCCUUGGACAAUUAAUCAUUUAUGUGACCUCAAAUCAGGUAGGACUACCCGCUGAACUUAAGCAUAUCAAUAAGCGGAGGAAAAGAAACUAACAAGGAUUCCCCUAGUAACUGCGAGUGAAGCGGGAAAAGCUCAAAUUUAAAAUCUGGCAGUCUUUUGG
RNAcentral lists this ribosomal RNA (700 nucleotides) under uncultured Cortinarius. Its description in RNAcentral is "eukaryotic LSU rRNA". The stretch from base 219 to 372 matches the Rfam family "5.8S ribosomal RNA". The record is from RNAcentral. Lineage: Eukaryota; Fungi; Basidiomycota; Agaricomycetes; Agaricales; Cortinariaceae.